UUAAAGACGAUGACGUUGAUAGGUCGGGUGUGUAAGCGUAGCGAUACGUUGAGCUAACCGAUACUAAUGAACCGUGAGGCUUAACCUU
Molecule: ribosomal RNA, 88 nt
Filed under: Klebsiella aerogenes
Lineage: Bacteria; Pseudomonadati; Pseudomonadota; Gammaproteobacteria; Enterobacterales; Enterobacteriaceae
Description: partial 23S ribosomal RNA
Rfam family: Bacterial large subunit ribosomal RNA
Source: RNAcentral